AACGCAAAUUGCGCCUUCCUUCGGAAGGCAUGUCUGUUUGAGGGCACCAUUUAACAAAUAAUGUGCGCGUCGUUUUUACGAGCGACGUGCGCACGUUGAUGAGCUUUUCCGAAAAAACCAGGUUUUUUUGGUGGCGCAUAAUGAACAGCGUGGGCUUUUUCUUCGAUUCUCGUGUAGUAAAUUUUCAAACAACGCUUGGGUUGAGAAAAAGUGCGUGCCGCGCAAUGGGUGUGGCGAAUUUUACCCCUGCCACAAUGCCACUCUUUCCCUGCGAAAGAACAAUUUUUAUUCAGGGCCUCAAAUCAGACAAGAGUACCCGCUGAACUUAA
This 329-nucleotide unclassified non-coding RNA is filed under the name uncultured Paraglomerales. RNAcentral describes it as "sequence contains ITS2". Lineage: Eukaryota; Fungi; Glomeromycota; Glomeromycetes; Paraglomerales. The record is from RNAcentral.